This 468-nucleotide ribosomal RNA is filed under the name uncultured bacterium. RNAcentral describes it as "partial 16S ribosomal RNA". It matches the Rfam family "Bacterial small subunit ribosomal RNA", at positions 28 to 507 of the family's 1533-position model. The record is from RNAcentral.
GACGAACGCUGGCGGCGUGCUUAACACAUGCAAGUCGAACGGAAAGGCCCUGCUCUUGUGGGGUGCUCGAGUGGCGCACGGGUGAGUAUCACGUGAGUAAACCCCCCCUGUCUUUGGGAUAACUUCAGGAAACUGGGGCUAAUAUCGGAUAGGAUAUCUUGCUGCAUGGUGGGGGUUGGUAAGUUGCGGCGGUUGUGGAUGGUCUCGCGGGUUAUCAGCUUGUUGGUGGGGUAGUGGCUUACCAAGGCUUUGGCGGGUAGCCGGCCUGAGAGGGUGACCGGCGACAUUGGGACUGAGAGACGGCCCAGACUCGUACGGGAGGCAGCAGGGGGGAAUAUUGCACAAUGGGCGCAAGCGUGAUGCAGCAACCCCGCGUGCGGGAAGACGGCCUUCGGGUUGAAAACCAAUUUCGCCGGUGACGAAGCGUGAGUGACGGUAAUGAGUAAAGAAGCACCGGCUAACUACGUG